UAUCUUUUAAAAGCGCCAGCACUGUGGCUGCCCGACAUGGAGCACAGUGGACGAGGUGGAGGUUUAUCGAAAUGUUCGGCGGAUGCCUCCCGGUCAUGUAUCAGGACCGUAAGCUCAGUUACAAAACAUAGGGGCAACUUUAUGGACAAAAUCUGAGUAUGAUAUGUU
RNAcentral lists this non-coding RNA (168 nucleotides) under Brevibacillus laterosporus. RNAcentral's name for it is "GlcN6P sequence". It matches the Rfam family "glmS glucosamine-6-phosphate activated ribozyme aptamer". Rfam says of the family: This entry contains a glucosamine-6-phosphate activated ribozyme that is found in the mRNA for GlmS. The record is from RNAcentral. RNAcentral also lists the same sequence under 1 other name. Lineage: Bacteria; Bacillati; Bacillota; Bacilli; Caryophanales; Paenibacillaceae.